GCCUGAAGCCGGUAGCACUAGGGCAGCUCGGCUCUUAAACAGAGCUGAAGAGUCAGGGAGCAGCAGCAGUCGCCAGAGCCUGCUCUAAGACUUCUCUUGUUUCAGGUGGAUUACCCUGAGUGAGACACCGAAUUGGAGUGAUGUGGAACCUUGUAUCAAGUACCUGACCGAUAAGGGGAUGCAAAUUGAUGACGUGAAGUGUUUUGAUCAGUUCAGCAACCUGAAGAAGUUUACAGAAAGUUGCAACAGUGAUGAAGAGUUCAGUAAUUUGCUAGCACACCAGAAGUGGACCAAAUAUUUUGAGAAAUCCAAAAACAUUGAGUGUCAUUCAGAACUGUUAAAGAUUGCACAGUUUUUCUUUGCUAUUCCUUCUCACAAUGCAAAUGUAGAGCGAAUUUUUUCACUGAUGCAAAGCCAGUGGACAAAGGAAAGGACCAACUUGAAUGUUGAGUCGUUGAAAGGAAUUCUACUUGUACAGUACAACUUCAGACAAACUUCUUGAAAAGACUUUCAUGCCUUCUUAAAGAGCAAUCAACCACUGCUGAGAAAAAUGCGAUCUGCAGAGAAGUAUGCGUGGGCACAUGAGGAGAAAGAAAACUGAAGAACUGGUGAAAGGAAAGGACUCACUACAUAUAAAGAAUUACGUUUUAGAAUUAAAGAAUUAAAUAGCUCAAAAUGUCCGGGAUUUUACCCGGCAGGGAGGAGAACUGGGUGCUCCAAGGCAUCUGGGGAGCUGGGAAACAGAACAGUGUGAGCUGCGUGUCCUGACCGCUCCCAAAAACGGAGCGCUGGGGCAGAUCCUCCACUGAGCAGCUUCAUUAAAGUCAUGGGAGUCUAUA
Long non-coding RNA from Malaclemys terrapin pileata, 839 nucleotides. RefSeq lists it as uncharacterized. The transcript has 2 exons. NCBI's taxonomy places the organism in Eukaryota, Metazoa, Chordata, Testudines, Emydidae. The record is from RefSeq and is a predicted model, not a curated record.